GUGAGAUAAUGUACAUGGCAAGGCUUUCAGAACUUCGCAGCAUGUGCUGUGGGGGGCGGUCCUCGAUGCUGUGAAAGAUGCGUUUGCAUUCACUGGACAGGAAUUUACAGAACAAGAUCUUCUGGGUCAGGUACAGAAGGGUUGAGAAUGGGCACCAUGCUGAUGUAGCUGGAAACUGGAAGAUGGGUAGGAGCUAGCAUUGUCAAAGAAACAUUGAAUGAUGGGUCUUCAUUGAGUCAUGGAGUAAUCUAGAUGUGCAGAGAUGAUACUGUCUUGGACCUGGCCCUUCGCAGGAAGACUUCCCUUGUCAGCAGUUGGGAGUUGGAAUGCAUGGAAGGGGACGCCUGAA
Molecule: long non-coding RNA, 349 nt
Organism: Mesocricetus auratus (golden hamster)
Lineage: Eukaryota; Metazoa; Chordata; Mammalia; Rodentia; Cricetidae
Exons: 3
Source: RefSeq, a predicted model, not a curated record